This 400-nucleotide ribosomal RNA is filed under the name uncultured bacterium. RNAcentral's name for it is "bacterial SSU rRNA". It matches the Rfam family "Bacterial small subunit ribosomal RNA", at positions 355 to 772 of the family's 1533-position model. The record is from RNAcentral.
UGGGGAAUAUUGGACAAUGGGGGCAACCCUGAUCCAGCAAUGCCGCGUGAGUGAUGAAGGCCUUAGGGUUGUAAAGCUCUUUUACCGGGGACGAUGAUGACGGUACCCGGAGAAUAAGCCCCGGCUAACUUCGUGCCAGCAGCCGCGGUAAUACGAAGGGGGCGAGCGUUGUUCGGAGUUACUGGGCGUAAAGGGCGCGUAGGCGGCGCUCCAAGUUAGGCGUGAAAGCCCCGGGCUCAACCUGGGAAUUGCGCUUAAGACUGGAGUGCUCGAGUGCGGAAGAGGUGAGUGGAAUUCCCAGUGUAGAGGUGAAAUUCGUAGAUAUUGGGAAGAACACCAGUGGCGAAGGCGGCUCACUGGUCCGCAACUGACGCUGAGGCGCGAAAGCGUGGGGAGCAAA